This 253-nucleotide ribosomal RNA is filed under the name uncultured bacterium. RNAcentral's name for it is "partial 16S ribosomal RNA". It matches the Rfam family "Bacterial small subunit ribosomal RNA", at positions 524 to 776 of the family's 1533-position model. The record is from RNAcentral.
GACAGAGGGUGCAAACGUUGUUCGGAUUUACUGGGCGUAAAGCGCGUGUAGGCGGCUUGGCAAGUCGGAUGUGAAAGCCCACGGCUCAACCGUGGAAGCGCAUCCGAAACUGCUUCGCUCGAGUCUCGGAGAGGAAGGUGGAAUGCUUGGUGUAGAGGUGAAAUUCGUAGAUAUCAAGCAGAACACCUGCGGCGAAGGCGGCCUUCUGGACGAUGACUGACGCUGAGGAGCGAAAGCGUGGGGAGCGAUCCGG